UCAGACGAUGCGUCAUGCAUAUCAAUAAGCGGAGGAAAAGAAACUAACAAGGAUUCCCUCAGUAACGGCGAGUGAAGCGGGAAGAGCUCAAAUUUGAAAUCUUGAGAGGUCACCUUUCACGAAUUGUAGUUUAAAGAAGUGUUUUCUGUUACGAUCGUAAUAUAAGUUCUUUGGAAUAGGACAUCACAGAGGGUGAGAAUCCCGUCUAUGAUUGCGAUUUGUAGCUUUGUGAUACACUUUCAAAGAGUCGGGUUGUUUGGGAAUGCAGCCCAAAACGGGAGGUAAAUUUCUUCUAAGGCUAAAUAUUGGCGAGAGACCGAUAGCGAACAAGUACCGUGAGGGAAAGAUGAAAAGAACUUUGAAAAGAGAGUUAAAUCAGUACGUGAAAUUGUCAAAAGGGAAGCGUUUAACACCAGUGUUGUUUUCUGAAAAUCAACCUCUGUUAGCUUUAUGCAUGUUUGUUUAGACCUAAUCAGCUAUCUUGCAUGUUCUAUUGUUUGCAGUGGUGCACUUUUCAGUUUACAGGUCAACAUCAGUUUUUUUUACCGUAAAAAAGUUAAAGAAAGGUAGCUCAUGGCUCCGGUCGUGAGUGUUAUAGUCUUUUUCCUAUGCGGUAGGAGAGACUGAGGUCUGCAGUGUAGGCUAUUUGGCUAGAUACUCAGGUGCUAUGUGAUACCAUUUCAUAAACAACUUGUUGAUUAUGUUUUGUCUAUUGCAUACUCGCUUGUACUAUCAUACCUACGCUUAGGAUGUUGAAGACUCUACAGAGAUA
RNAcentral lists this ribosomal RNA (772 nucleotides) under uncultured Neocallimastigales. Its description in RNAcentral is "partial large subunit ribosomal RNA". It matches the Rfam family "Eukaryotic large subunit ribosomal RNA", at positions 18 to 640 of the family's 3401-position model. The record is from RNAcentral. Lineage: Eukaryota; Fungi; Neocallimastigomycota; Neocallimastigomycetes; Neocallimastigales.